Molecule: ribosomal RNA, 253 nt
Filed under: uncultured bacterium
Lineage: Bacteria
Description: partial 16S ribosomal RNA
Rfam family: Bacterial small subunit ribosomal RNA
Source: RNAcentral
UACGAAGGGGGCGAGCGUUGUUCGGAUUUACUGGGCGUAAAGGGCGCGUAGGCGGCCUUGUCAGUCAGGCGUGAAAGCCCCGGGCUCAACCUGGGAACGGCGCUUGGGACGGCGAGGCUGGAGUUCGGGAGAGGAGAGUGGAAUUCCCAGUGUAGAGGUGAAAUUUGUAGAUAUUGGGAAGAACACCGGUGGCGAAGGCGGGUCUCUGGGCAACAACUGACGCUGAGGAGCGAAAGCAUGGGGAGCGAACAGG